GACGAACGCUGGCCGCGUGCUUAACACAUGCAAGUCGAACGGAAAGGCCCUGCUUUUGUGGGGUGCUCGAGUGGCGAACGGGUGAGUAACACGUGAGUAACCUGCCCUUGACUUUGGGAUAACGUCAGGAAACUGGGGCUAAUACCGGAUAGGAGCUCCUGCUGCAUGGUGGGGGUUGGAAAGUUUCGGCGGUUGGGGAUGGACUCGCGGCUUAUCAGCUUGUUGGUGGGGUAGUGGCUUACCAAGGCUUUGACGGGUAGCCGGCCUGAGAGGGUGACCGGCCACAUUGGGACUGAGAUACGGCCCAGACUACUACGGGAGGCAGCAGUGGGGAAUAUUGCACAAUGGGCGGAAGCCUGAUGCAGCAACGCCGCGUGCGGGAUGACGGCCUUCGGGUUGUAAACCGCUUUCGCCUGUGACGAAGCGUGAGUGACGGUAAUGGGUAAAGAAGCACCGGCUAACUACGUG
This 468-nucleotide ribosomal RNA is filed under the name uncultured bacterium. Its description in RNAcentral is "partial 16S ribosomal RNA". It matches the Rfam family "Bacterial small subunit ribosomal RNA", at positions 28 to 507 of the family's 1533-position model. The record is from RNAcentral.